This 76-nucleotide small nucleolar RNA is filed under the name Brassica oleracea var. oleracea. Lineage: Eukaryota; Viridiplantae; Streptophyta; Magnoliopsida; Brassicales; Brassicaceae. The record is from RNAcentral.
UCUGAGAUUAUGAUGAAUCUAAUUUGCGACUGAUAUUAUAUUGAUGUUUAUUCACCUUGGAGAACUGAUUCUCAGA